RNAcentral lists this ribosomal RNA (253 nucleotides) under uncultured bacterium. Its description in RNAcentral is "partial 16S ribosomal RNA". It matches the Rfam family "Bacterial small subunit ribosomal RNA", at positions 524 to 776 of the family's 1533-position model. The record is from RNAcentral.
UACGUAGGGGGCAAGCGUUGUCCGGAUUUACUGGGUGUAAAGGGUGCUCAGGUGGCUUGGAAAGUCAGUGGUGAAAUCUGAGAGCUUAACUCUCAAACUGCCAUUGAUACUUCUUAGCUUGAGUACGGAAGAGGCUGAUGGAAUUUCAGGUGUAGCAGUGAAAUGCGUAGAUAUCUGAAAGAACACCAGUGGCGAAGGCGGUCAGCUGGUCCGUUACUGACACUAAAGCACGAAAGCGCGGGUAGCAAACAGG